GUCAACCACCAUUUCGGCCAUUGCUUCUGUGCAGUCCAAUAAGAUUGUCGGUUCCCUGAAGAUUGGGAAGCUGCAGUUAUCCUUGAAGCAUUCAGACGUGGGGCCAUUCUCGGUGCAAAUGAUGCAGGCCAUCAUGAACUACUUCGCGACCAGCGUCCUGGUCCCGCAGAUUAUCG
Molecule: long non-coding RNA, 176 nt
Organism: Sphaerodactylus townsendi
Lineage: Eukaryota; Metazoa; Chordata; Lepidosauria; Squamata; Sphaerodactylidae
Exons: 3
Source: RefSeq, a predicted model, not a curated record